GGAGGUAUAGCUUAGUGGUAGAGUGCCUGCUUAGCAUGCACAAGGUCCUGGGUUCAACCCCUAGUACCGCCA
This 72-nucleotide transfer RNA is filed under the name Camelus bactrianus (Bactrian camel). It matches the Rfam family "tRNA". Rfam says of the family: Transfer RNA (tRNA) molecules are approximately 80 nucleotides in length. The record is from Rfam by way of RNAcentral. RNAcentral also lists the same sequence under 1 other name. Lineage: Eukaryota; Metazoa; Chordata; Mammalia; Artiodactyla; Camelidae.